AGUUUUGCGUAGUGGCAGUAUCAAAGCCAAUGAGGUUUAUCUGAGGCAUGAUUAUUACUAAUUGAGAGUCUUUCUCUUUCUCUCUCACACAC
RNAcentral lists this small nuclear RNA (92 nucleotides) under Tupaia belangeri (northern tree shrew). RNAcentral's name for it is "U4 spliceosomal RNA (ENSTBEG00000021241.1)". The stretch from base 1 to 67 matches the Rfam family "U4 spliceosomal RNA". Rfam says of the family: U4 small nuclear RNA (U4 snRNA) is a component of the major U2-dependent spliceosome. The structure of U4 snRNA from yeast and human has been reported. Lineage: Eukaryota; Metazoa; Chordata; Mammalia; Scandentia; Tupaiidae. The record is from RNAcentral.